CCGUAACAGAUGUUUGCUUUUGCACCUGUUGCUGAUUAAAUGUCUGGAUGGGACUUUUGUCAUUGAGACUGAGAACUUAAUGUCCAUUUUUCUAAAAAGCAAACUGAAAAGUGGAUUGUCCUGAGCACAUCACACAUUUCCACUAUCUUGGAUCAUCUGAGAUGAGUUUGGGCCUGAGAAGCUUGGGUCAUGUCUGUAUAGAAUUGAUAAAUAGAUUUCUGCUGGAUUAACAGAGAUUCAAGUUGCAUUUCUAGGUGCAGAAGCAGACUGUGUUAAGUCACAACAGUUUUUAAAAGAGUUCCAGAGGCCAUGUAGUAAUAUUUAACACAAUAGCAUGAUGAUUUUUCAUUCAAUGCCAUCUGAGGGGUCAAAGGUCAUGUACAUUCAGUGGAGGGUGGUGAGACAAUAUCAUGCUUUGCUUGAAAAGAGUUAUCAUGAAGUAUUACUAAUUCAUCAGCUUAUUUUGGAUGGUUUUAAAACACUUUAACUUGGAUAUUCUAUAAGCUUUUAACUGUUAUUUUGGCUCUGUUUCUACGUUUUUGGAAUGUGUUGCAGUCAUUAAAAUCAAAAUUUGUAUGUAUUUACAAAAUACUAUCAAUUUGGUCUGUGGAAAGAUUGGAAAUGUUUUCUGUGUACUUCUGUCAGUUAAUCAAAGGUUAAAGAGAAUUAACAAAUCCCAGAAUCUUGAUCUACUGGAUUUUAUAAAAUGUGGCAACAUUUCUGGAAAUGGGGUUGUGCAUAAAGUAAUGAAGCAAAAACAUGUUUAGAAAAGUAGAUUAUGUCUUAAUAAUUUCAAUUGUAAUCUGUGGUGGUUUUAUUGGCUACAUGUGUUCAGCUAGGUCCUGUAGUGAUUACGUCUAUGACGAUGAUUUAAUUAGGUGCGCUUGUAGGCUCAUGGCACUGUUGCUAUUAUGCGAUAUUUGUGUGGUUAUCAAUUUAAUUUGGCAAAAUAUUUUAUUUAAACUUAUUUUUUGUUUAGAGAAUUUAGACACAUUUUGAGCAUAUAAUACAAGCUGACCCUUAAACCUUAACUUGCACAUUCGUAUUUCAUGUAAAACAGCAGUUAUAAAAGACAGUUACGAUAAGAGGUAACAUAACAUAGUAUAAAUAUUAAGUGUUCUGAUGUCAAACGAUUGAUUUCUUUCAGCCUAACAAAGGUUUUUCUGUCCGUCUCUCUUGGGUUAUGGGCUACUGUGUGAUUCAUAGGUGAUUUUACUCUUUGCUGGGGUUUUUUUUUUUUUCUUUUCCUUU
Long non-coding RNA from Cyprinus carpio carpio, 1251 nucleotides. The record is from Ensembl. NCBI's taxonomy places the organism in Eukaryota, Metazoa, Chordata, Actinopteri, Cypriniformes, Cyprinidae.